RNAcentral lists this ribosomal RNA (253 nucleotides) under uncultured bacterium. RNAcentral's name for it is "partial 16S ribosomal RNA". It matches the Rfam family "Bacterial small subunit ribosomal RNA", at positions 524 to 776 of the family's 1533-position model. The record is from RNAcentral.
UACGGAGGAUGCAAGCGUUAUCCGGAUUUAUUAGGUAUAAAGGGUGCGUAGGCGGAUUUGUUAGUCAGUGGUGAAAUACUACGGCUUAACCGUAGAACUGCCAUUGAUACUGCAAGUCUUGAGUACAAUUGAGGUAGGCGGAAUGUGUGGUGUAGCGGUGAAAUGCUUAGAUAUCACACAGAACACCGAUUGCGAAGGCAGCUUACUAAGUUGUAACUGACGCUGAUGCACGAAAGCAUGGGGAGCAAACAGG